CAGUAGCCGCGGGAAUACGUAUGUCACGAGCGUUAUCCGGAUUUAUUGGGCGUAAAGCGCGUCUAGGUGGUUAUAUAAGUCUGAUGUGAAAAUGCAGGGCUCAACUCUGUAUUGCGUUGGAAACUGUAUAACUAGAGUACUGGAGAGGUAAGCGGAACUACAAGUGUAGAGGUGAAAUUCGUAGAUAUUUGUAGGAAUGCCGAUGGGGAAGCCAGCUUACUGGACAGAUACUGACGCUGAAGCGCGAAAGCGUGGGUAGCAAACAGGACUAGAUACCCGUGUAGUCCCUGUCUCUUAUACA
Molecule: ribosomal RNA, 301 nt
Filed under: uncultured bacterium
Lineage: Bacteria
Description: partial 16S ribosomal RNA
Rfam family: Bacterial small subunit ribosomal RNA
Source: RNAcentral